GGGGAUUUAGCUCAGUGGCAUAAGCACCUGCCUUGCAAGCAGGAGGUCCUGAGUUUGAUCCCUG
RNAcentral lists this transfer RNA (64 nucleotides) under Cavia porcellus (domestic guinea pig). It matches the Rfam family "tRNA", at positions 1 to 63 of the family's 71-position model. From Rfam's summary of the family: Transfer RNA (tRNA) molecules are approximately 80 nucleotides in length. Their secondary structure includes four short double-helical elements and three loops (D, anti-codon, and T loops). Lineage: Eukaryota; Metazoa; Chordata; Mammalia; Rodentia; Caviidae. The record is from Rfam by way of RNAcentral.